RNAcentral lists this long non-coding RNA (573 nucleotides) under Trifolium pratense (red clover). Its description in RNAcentral is "long non-coding RNA (TPRA_LNC008947)". The record is from RNAcentral. Lineage: Eukaryota; Viridiplantae; Streptophyta; Magnoliopsida; Fabales; Fabaceae.
CUAAUCUCCAAACUAAAAGCAACAGAAAACAAAGAAAAGAGACAAAAGGAGGAAAGGACUUACGAAAACGGUAGCAGAGUUACAAAAUCAGCAGCAGGGUUAAAAUUUGGCGGCAGACUUAAGAAACUGGCUGCGCAAAAUGAGAAAUGCUUCUAUCUUUAGUUGAAUCCAAUCACUAUCUGUGUAAGUAAAGUAAUGAAUUGCAUGAAUGACCAAACCCCUCAAACAAGAGACAAAAAAAAAAAACUAUUAAGAAACUUGGGGAAACUCAGUAUUUCAAACUAACAAAAGGGAGACACACUAAAUCAGAUUCUGCUCUAAGAAAGGGAAACUCGACAUUUUAGUCAAGUUUCUCAUAUUUAAGUUUUAGUUACUAGUAACAUUUACUAUUCGGGAACAAAAUUUAAGUUAACAAAGAAAGCAUCCACCACUGAAUGUAUUAACUCUAGAAUAAAAAUGAACACCACAUUUUCUACAAAAGUUGGAAAUCCUUUUAUAUGCUACUAGUUCCAUCCAUACAAUUUUGCUUCAAUGUGCACCAUGACUUCCAAUAUUGUAACAAAUCUCUAAAGC